AUAAUUAUAUUAUUAAGAUUAAACAUACAAAAUUUGAUCGCUAUUUUAUGAUUCAGUAAGUUGUAACUAUCGAUCAUUUAAAUCAAAUUUAGAAGAAAGGUCUUGAUCAAUUAAAAUUGGUAAAAGUAUAUAUAUAUAUAUAGGGUGGUGCUCACAUGAGAACCCCAAAUAAUAUGAGAUAUGAGAUCUAAUCUCAGCCCUCCAUUUUAUAUAAAAGCUUUUAAUCCAAGGCUUUUAUCUCUCCAAAAUCCCUCGUCUUCAUUUACCUGCCAGUUUUGUUUUUUCAUCUUGCUUUCACCCAUCCACCCACCCACUACUCGCCGACAUCCCUAUAUUGUACCACCAUCUCUCUCCACCAUUGAUCCCUAACCUUAGUUACUUACACCCAAAAUCAAUACACACGCCCUUGCUCUGUUCAUAACGCAAUCUCCGCCUUCCCGCUGCAACACGAUAUCGGCGCCGCCGUAGUCCCUCUCCACCUUCCAGUGACUACCGCUCGUCCCAGUGUUUCUCCAACGGCGUCUGCUGUAGCCUCUUGUUAUAUUUCGGCCGACGAUAACGUAGCUGAUGCCCCCCUCCAACAGCCAUGUCCUUGUCCCGCUAGUUCUUCACCUCCGAUUUCAAUACUUUUCGAUUGAAUCGACCGUACUAACGUCGACGCAGAUCUGGAGAUGGUUUUGUUGGUGGUAGUAUUAGUGUGGCAGUGGUGGUAUUGGUUUAAUACAAUGUUUUGUAAGGUGGCUGGGAAACGAUUUUUCGGAAAUGAUGCGGUGAUUAUUUUUUUUGCAGUGGUGAUUUUUGUUUUUCAGUGUUGAUUUUGCUCUGUAGUUGGUGAUUUUUCAGAUUUGGGGGUUGUAGAUGGUGGUGGUGGUCUGUAGAUGUGAUGAUGUGGUGAUUUUCGAUUUUUGACAGUGAUUUUCAUUUUUCCGGUGGUGAUUUUUAAUUUUCCGGUGGUGAUUUUCGGUUUGCGGGUGGUGAUUUUAUGUUUGUCGGUGGUGAUUUUCCGGUGGUCGCUGGAGGUGGGGGUGGUCGGAAACGGUGGUCGGCGGUGGUCAGAGGUGGCAGGUGGUGGAAUUAGAAUGAAUAUGGUGAUAAAAUAUUUAAAUAUUAAUAAUUAAUGUGUAGUGAAAUAUUGAUAUAAGAUUUAAAAGGUGUGGCUGAGAUUAGAUCUCAUAUCUCACAAUAAAAGUGGUUCUCAUUUGAGCAAGACCCUAUAUAUAUAUAUAUAUAUAUAUAUAU
Molecule: long non-coding RNA, 1239 nt
Filed under: Daucus carota (carrot)
Lineage: Eukaryota; Viridiplantae; Streptophyta; Magnoliopsida; Apiales; Apiaceae
Description: long non-coding RNA (DCAR_LNC003719)
Source: RNAcentral